AGAGUUUGAUCCUGGCUCAGAACGAACGCUGGCGGCAGGCCUAACACAUGCAAGUCGAGCGCACUUAUUUCCUUCGGGUUAUAGGCGAGCGGCGGACGGGUUAGUAACGCGUGGGAACGUACCCUUUACUACGGAAUAGCCUUUGGAAACGAAGAGUAAUACCUUAUACGCCCUUCGGGGGAAAGAUUUAUCGGAGAAGGAUCGGCCCGCGUUAGAUUAGAUAGUUGGUGGGGUAAUGGCCUACCAAGUCUACGAUCUAUAGCUGGUUUUAGAGGAUGAUCAGCAACACUGGGACUGAGACACGGCCCAGACUCCUACGGGAGGCAGCAGUGGGGAAUCUUGGACAAUGGGCGCAAGCCUGAUCCAGCCAUGCCGCGUGAGUGAUGAAGGCCUUAGGGUCGUAAAGCUCUUUCGCCAGAGAUGAUAAUGACAGUAUCUGGUAAAGAAACCCCGCUAACU
RNAcentral lists this ribosomal RNA (459 nucleotides) under uncultured bacterium. RNAcentral's name for it is "bacterial SSU rRNA". It matches the Rfam family "Bacterial small subunit ribosomal RNA", at positions 8 to 502 of the family's 1533-position model. The record is from RNAcentral.